UACGAAGGGUGCAAGCGUUACUCGGAAUUACUGGGCGUAAAGCGUGCGUAGGUGGUGAGUUAAGUCUGUCGUGAAAGCCCCGGGCUCAACCUGGGAAUGGCGAUGGAUACUGGCUCGCUAGAGUGCGGUAGAGGGGGAUGGAAUUCCGCGUGUAGCAGUGAAAUGCGUAGAUAUGCGGAGGAACACCGAUGGCGAAGGCAAUCCCCUGGGCCUGCACUGACGCUCAUGCACGAAAGCGUGGGGAGCAAACAGG
This 253-nucleotide ribosomal RNA is filed under the name uncultured bacterium. RNAcentral describes it as "partial 16S ribosomal RNA". It matches the Rfam family "Bacterial small subunit ribosomal RNA", at positions 524 to 776 of the family's 1533-position model. The record is from RNAcentral.